AUACUCUCAACCUUCUUGGUUUCUUUGACCAACGAAGGCUUGGACUUUGGAGGUUUUUCUUGCUGGCCUCUUUAGAAGCCAGCUCCUCCUAAAUGAAUGGGUGGGGUCCGCAUUGCUGAUCCUCGACGUGAUAAUUCUUCUACGUCUCAGUGUCAGCUCGGAACCCGCUUUGCAACCGUCUUUGGACAAAGACAAUGUUCGAGUUGCGACUCGACCUUACAAA
Molecule: unclassified non-coding RNA, 223 nt
Filed under: uncultured Russula
Lineage: Eukaryota; Fungi; Basidiomycota; Agaricomycetes; Russulales; Russulaceae
Description: sequence contains ITS2
Source: RNAcentral